RNAcentral lists this unclassified non-coding RNA (479 nucleotides) under Homo sapiens (human). RNAcentral's name for it is "synaptic Ras GTPase activating protein 1 (ENSG00000227460.8)". Lineage: Eukaryota; Metazoa; Chordata; Mammalia; Primates; Hominidae. The record is from RNAcentral.
GUCCCAGGAAGAACAAACCAGCAAAAUCCUGAUGCAGUAUCAGGCCCGACUGGAGCAGAGUGAGAAGAGGCUAAGGCAGCAGCAGGCAGAGAAGGAUUCCCAGAUCAAGAGCAUCAUUGGCAGGCUGAUGCUGGUGGAGGAGGAGCUGCGCCGGGACCACCCCGCCAUGGCUGAGCCGCUGCCAGAACCCAAGAAGAGGCUGCUCGACGCUCAGCUCCUCAUCAGGUAAUUCUCCUGGUUCCGCUUUGGCCACGGGCGGAGGACACAGGGGGAGGUGACUCCGGACCACUGCAGGUUGGUCGUGAAGCCCACUCCCUCCAACACCUCCGGAGCCUCUCCCCUCUCACUGCUGCCCUCCACACCCAGAGAACCUCCACAGACUCCAGCCCUCCGACACCUGCACAGAUCCAUCUCCCAAGACACCACCCAAAGAGAGCAUUUGCUGCUGCUUCCCAGAACUGUCCAACAAUACCUUAGCA